UGCUAAUCUGCGAUAAGCGUCGGUGAGGUGAUAUGAACCGUUAUAACCGGCGAUUUCCGAAUGGGGAAACCCAGUGUGUUUCGACACACUAUCAUUAACUGAAUCCAUAGGUUAAUGAGGCGAACCGGGGGAACUGAAACAUCUAAGUACCCCGAGGAAAAGAAAUCAACCGAGAUUCCCCCAGUAGCGGCGAGCGAACGGGGAGGAGCCCAGAGCCUGAAUCAGUGUGUGUGUUAGUGGAAGCGUCUGGAAAGGCGCGCGAUACAGGGUGACAGCCCCGUACACAAAAAUGCACAUAUUGUGAGCUCGAUGAGUAGGGCGGGACACGUGGUAUCCUGUCUGAAUAUGGGGGGACCAUCCUCCAAGGCUAAAUACUCCUGACUGACCGAUAGUGAACCAGUACCGUGAGGGAAAGGCGAAAAGAACCCCGGCGAGGGGAGUGAAAAAGAACCUGAAACCGUGUACGUACAAGCAGUGGGAGCCUCUUAAUGGGGUGACUGCGUACCUUUUGUAUAAUGGGUCAGCGACUUAUAUUCUGUAGCAAGGUUAACCGAAUAGGGGAGCCGAAGGGAAACCGAGUCUUAACUGGGCGUUAAGUUGCAGGGUAUAGACCCGAAACCCGGUGAUCUAGCCAUGGGCAGGUUGAAGGUUGGGUAACACUAACUGGAGGACCGAACCGACUAAUGUUGAAAAAUUAGCGGAUGACUUGUGGCUGGGGGUGAAAGGCCAAUCAAACCGGGAGAUAGCUGGUUCUCCCCGAAAGCUAUUUAGGUAGCGCCUCGUGAAUUCAUCUCCGGGGGUAGAGCACUGUUUCGGCAAGGGGGUCAUCCCGACUUACCAACCCGAUGCAAACUGCGAAUACCGGAGAAUGUUAUCACGGGAGACACACGGCGGGUGCUAACGUCCGUCGUGAAGAGGGAAACAACCCAGACCGCCAGCUAAGGUCCCAAAGUCAUGGUUAAGUGGGAAACGAUGUGGGAAGGCCCAGACAGCCAGGAUGUUGGCUUAGAAGCAGCCAUCAUUUAAAGAAAGCGUAAUAGCUCACUGGUCGAGUCGGCCUGCGCGGAAGAUGUAACGGGGCUAAACCAUG
RNAcentral lists this ribosomal RNA (1090 nucleotides) under Escherichia coli. RNAcentral's name for it is "partial 23S ribosomal RNA". It matches the Rfam family "Bacterial large subunit ribosomal RNA", at positions 59 to 1191 of the family's 2925-position model. The record is from RNAcentral. Lineage: Bacteria; Pseudomonadati; Pseudomonadota; Gammaproteobacteria; Enterobacterales; Enterobacteriaceae.